GAUGAACGCUAGCUACAGGCUUAACACAUGCAAGUCGAGGGACCGGCGCACGGGUGAGUAACACGUAUCCAACCUGCCCUUUACUCGGGGAUAGCCUUUCGAAAGAGAGAUUAAUACCCGAUAUAAAGGAUGGGGAUGCGUUCCAUUAGGUUGUUGGUGAGGUAACGGCUCACCAAGCCUUCGAUGGAUAGUGGUUAUGAGAGGAAGGCCCCCCACAUUGGAACUGCGGCCCGGUCCAAACUCGUACGCGAGGCAGGAGUGAAGAAUAUUGGUGAAGCGGCGCUAGUCUGAACCAGCCAAGUAGAGUGAAGGAUGAAGGCUUAUGGGUCGUAAAUUUCUGUUAUAGAAGAAUAUGUAUUAUAUGAAUAAGGAUCGGCUAACUCCGUGCCAGCAGCCGCGGUAAUUC
RNAcentral lists this ribosomal RNA (406 nucleotides) under uncultured bacterium. RNAcentral's name for it is "partial 16S ribosomal RNA". It matches the Rfam family "Bacterial small subunit ribosomal RNA", at positions 28 to 526 of the family's 1533-position model. The record is from RNAcentral.